This 505-nucleotide ribosomal RNA is filed under the name Tramea transmarina. Its description in RNAcentral is "partial 16S rRNA". It matches the Rfam family "Bacterial large subunit ribosomal RNA", at positions 1819 to 2597 of the family's 2925-position model. The record is from RNAcentral. Lineage: Eukaryota; Metazoa; Arthropoda; Insecta; Odonata; Libellulidae.
GUCCUUUUGAAUUUUAUAGAAGGUCUGACCUGCCCAGUGAUAAUUUUAACGGCCGCGGUAUACUGACCGUGCAAAGGUAGCAUAAUCAUUAGUCUUUUAAUAGAGGGCUGGAAUGAAAGGUUUAACGAGGAAUUGACUGUCUCAUUUUAUUUGUUUUAGAAUUUAAUUUUUUAGUCAAAAAGCUAAAAUCUUAUUGGAAGACGAGAAGACCCUAUAGAUCUUUAUAAAACUUUAUUUAAUUAUUUUUAUAUUAUUUUAUUUAAAUGAUUUUUUAUUUUGUUGGGGUGACAAAAAUAUAUGUAAAACUUUUUUAUUUAUUUAACAUUAAUUUAUGAUUAUUAGAUCCAUUAUUAGUGAUUGAUAGACUAAGUUACCUUAGGGAUAACAGCGUAAUCCUCCUCCAGAGUUCAUAUUUACGGGAUGGGCUUGCGACCUCGAUGUUGGAUUAAGAUGAUAGUUAGGUGUAGCCGCUUAAUUUAUAGGUCUGUUCGACCUUUAAACUCUU